GCACGGCAGUCGUUUGAAGAAAAAACUGGAGAGAUGGGGGAUGGAAGCCUGGGAGUCACAUUUUUUCAAGCAAGACAUCACAGAGGGUGAGGCCCAGUGACAGAGAUGACAGAUAUUCAAAGAUGGAAUGAAAGAGGUUUGGUGACUGGAUAUAAGCAACGAAACAGGAAGAAUUGAAUUUGGGUCUGAUAUUUCCUGGAUGCAAGAUCAGGAGGAUGUUGGCACCAUGGCUUAGUGGGGAAACUGGGGACCGAUUCUGGAGGUAUACCAGCAUGGUGAGUUUGGUUUUAGAUGGGUUGUGUUUGACAUAGGGCUAGCAAUUCUAAGUGAAGAUGUCUAAAGAAAGAUAGAAGUGACUCAGCUCUGAAGUUCUGAAAUGAUCAGCCAUCAGCGUGGCAUGAGGAAGACCUAGGAACAGACAGACUGGGGAGAAGACACAGAGCCAAGCAGGACCUGGCCUGCAGCCCAAACCCUGUGGAAUCCCUACAUUCAAGGACCAGGUUGAAGUGAAGCCAUUGACAGGAACUGAGAUGCAGUAGUGUUCUGGAAGUCAAGUGAGGAGGAGGAUUGAAGAAGAGGUUGGUCAAAAUUCUGGGGGUUGCCCAGUGGAAACACCAGACUGCAAAGCUUUGAGAAGUCUGUAUGAGAUGAACAACUGGAAAAGGUUCUUCGUGAAGAAUUUGUGUGGUGAAGAGCUGGAAUAGCGGCUUGAGGGAGAGAAGCCAGAUGGAGUCUCACUCUGUCGCCCAGGCUGGAGUACA
This 761-nucleotide long non-coding RNA is filed under the name Homo sapiens (human). RNAcentral's name for it is "HSALNT0393402". Lineage: Eukaryota; Metazoa; Chordata; Mammalia; Primates; Hominidae. The record is from RNAcentral.